RNAcentral lists this long non-coding RNA (408 nucleotides) under Taeniopygia guttata (zebra finch). RNAcentral describes it as "lncRNA (ENSTGUG00000025244.1)". The record is from RNAcentral. Lineage: Eukaryota; Metazoa; Chordata; Aves; Passeriformes; Estrildidae.
CAGACUUUCCCCGCCAUUUCUUAAUAACUCUGUGACCCUGAUUUAGCAAUAUUUUGAAUCAAAUUAUUUGGUGCUUCUGUUUGUAAAAUUCUCCUUCUUUUUUUACACAGAUGCUCCUCAAGCCAAAAAUGUUUUGCUGUCUAAAGAAGAGCAAACAGAAUCUAAGGUUGCGGUCUGGAAUAAUUGCAUCAGUCAGCAGGGAACAGACUCCUUCUGCUCUCCCUUCUUGAGAUUGCCCUUAAAAGCUGCUUAUAGUCCUAACCACUUAAGUAGAAGAAAGAUAUUUCUACAUAAUUUCUACAACUCAGAUUCCAGUUUCCAGAUGCACCCAGCUUUCCUCCCUGCACUGGCCUUAUGCAUCAGAAAAACAGGUAUUUGCACAGGGGAUCAGCGUGUUAGGGCUGGCCA